UACGGAGGGUGCAAGCGUUGUCCGGAUUUAUUGGGUUUAAAGGGUGCGUAGGUGGGCUAGUAAGUCAGUGGUGAAAUCCCCGAGCUUAACUUGGGAACUGCCGUUGAUACUAUUAGUCUUGAAUAUCGUGGAGGUAAGCGGAAUAUGUCAUGUAGCGGUGAAAUGCUUAGAUAUGACAUAGAACACCAAUUGCGAAGGCAGCUUACUACACAGUUAUUGACACUGAGGCACGAAAGCGUGGGGAUCAAACAGG
Molecule: ribosomal RNA, 253 nt
Filed under: uncultured bacterium
Lineage: Bacteria
Description: partial 16S ribosomal RNA
Rfam family: Bacterial small subunit ribosomal RNA
Source: RNAcentral